This 505-nucleotide ribosomal RNA is filed under the name uncultured Glomus. Its description in RNAcentral is "SSU rRNA". It matches the Rfam family "Eukaryotic small subunit ribosomal RNA", at positions 569 to 1074 of the family's 1831-position model. Lineage: Eukaryota; Fungi; Glomeromycota; Glomeromycetes; Glomerales; Glomeraceae. The record is from RNAcentral.
AGCAGCCGCGGUAAUUCCAGCUCCAAUAGCGUAUAUUAAAGUUGUUGCAGUUAAAAAGCUCGUAGUUGAAUUUCGGGAUCAAUAUGUUGGUCGUGCCAUUGGUACGUACUGGCAUUAUUGACUCUUACCUUCUGAAGAACCUUGAUGUCAUUAAUUUGGUGUCUUGGGGAAUCAGGACUGUUACUUUGAAAAAAAUUAGAGUGUUUAAAGCAGGCUCGCGCUUGAAUACAUUAGCAUGGAAUAAUGAAAAUAGGACGUUCGAUCCUAUUUUGUUGGUUUCUAGGAUUGACGUAAUGAUUAAUAGGGAUAGUUGGGGGCAUUAGUAUUCAAUUGUCAGAGGUGAAAUUCUUGGAUUUAUUGAAGACUAACUACUGCGAAAGCAUUUGCCAAGGAUGUUUUCAUUAAUCAAGAACGAAAGUUAGGGGAUCGAAGACGAUCAGAUACCGUCGUAGUCUUAACCAUAAACUAUGCCGACUAGGGAUCGGAUGAUGUUAAUUUUUAAUGA